CCGUCCAUAGCUCAUUUGGUAGAGCGGAGGACUUUAGAGUUGCAGCAAACCUUAGGUCGCUGGUUCGAAUCCGGCUCGUCGGA
This 83-nucleotide transfer RNA is filed under the name Angiostrongylus costaricensis. It matches the Rfam family "tRNA". Rfam says of the family: Transfer RNA (tRNA) molecules are approximately 80 nucleotides in length. Lineage: Eukaryota; Metazoa; Nematoda; Chromadorea; Rhabditida; Metastrongylidae. The record is from Rfam by way of RNAcentral.